CAGGAGAGCUUGCUCUCUGGGUGGCGAGUGGCGGACGGGUGAGGAAUACAUCGGAAUCUACUCUGUCGUGGGGGAUAACGUAGGGAAACUUACGCUAAUACCGCAUACGACCUACGGGUGAAAGCAGGGGACCUUCGGGCCUUGCGCGAUUGAAUGAGCCGAUGUCGGAUUAGCUAGUUGGCGGGGUAAAGGCCCACCAAGGCGACGAUCCGUAGCUGGUCUGAGAGGAUGAUCAGCCACACUGGAACUGAGACACGGUCCAGACUCCUACGGGAGGCAGCAGUGGGGAAUAUUGGACAAUGGGCGCAAGCCUGAUCCAGCCAUACCGCGUGGGUGAAGAAGGCCUUCGGGUUGUAAAGCCCUUUUGUUGGGAAAGAAAUCCAGCUGGCUAAUACCCGGUUGGGAUGACGGUACCCAAAGAAUAAGCACCGGCUAACU
RNAcentral lists this ribosomal RNA (438 nucleotides) under Stenotrophomonas maltophilia. RNAcentral describes it as "bacterial SSU rRNA". It matches the Rfam family "Bacterial small subunit ribosomal RNA", at positions 71 to 502 of the family's 1533-position model. The record is from RNAcentral. Lineage: Bacteria; Pseudomonadati; Pseudomonadota; Gammaproteobacteria; Lysobacterales; Lysobacteraceae.